This 240-nucleotide ribosomal RNA is filed under the name uncultured Lactobacillus sp. RNAcentral describes it as "partial 16S ribosomal RNA". It matches the Rfam family "Bacterial small subunit ribosomal RNA", at positions 122 to 355 of the family's 1533-position model. The record is from RNAcentral. Lineage: Bacteria; Bacillati; Bacillota; Bacilli; Lactobacillales; Lactobacillaceae.
UAACCUGCCCAAGAGAUCGGGAUAACACCGGGAAACAGAUGCUAAUACCGGAUAACAACAGAUGAUGCCUAUCAACUGUUUAAAAGAUGGUUCUGCUAUCACUCUUGGAUGGACCUGCGGUGCAUUAGCUAGUUGGUAGGGUAACGGCCUACCAAGGCGAUGAUGCAUAGCCGAGUUGAGAGACUGAUCGGCCACAUUGGGACUGAGACACGGCCCAAACUCCUACGGGAGGCAGCAGCU